Molecule: long non-coding RNA, 962 nt
Organism: Sebastes umbrosus (honeycomb rockfish)
Lineage: Eukaryota; Metazoa; Chordata; Actinopteri; Perciformes; Sebastidae
Exons: 6
Source: RefSeq, a predicted model, not a curated record
UAACAAUGUUUUGACUUCAGUUUUUCAGGCUAGCCUGACUGAACCUGAGUUUAUUGUGACAAAACAAGUGAAACAAAUAGUACAACAAAAUCCUUUGGAGUUUCACAAGAAUACUGGACACUCACCUCCGGAAGCAGAAACUGCAGGUCUUGAUGAAGAGGAGUACUAGGAGCAGAACGAUGGUGAGGAGGAAGGCCAGGACAUCUAGGCUGUGAUACUGGUACCAGGCAUGGACAGCCCACCGUCCCCGCUACCGUGGAAAAGACCUUGAUAUCGCUGCCUGCUCUGCUAUUGAAUUCAGCCUGAUUGGGCCACAAAAGCUCCGGCGCUGCGUCUCCAGCCAGAAAACGUCACCUCCUCUUUGCCUCUGUCCUCCUCUCUCCAUGGAUCACUGCUGGUCCAGCUCCUCUGGAGGAGAACAUCUGGGCUGCCAAAGGAAGAACUCAGAUCCUCAGUCUUCAUGCCGAACAGCACCAGGGACGAAUAAACCAACACCAUGUUGCUGAAGGCUUCGUUGGAAAAUCUGCCAUCACGCAGACAGACAGAAGCAGUGACGACUGUGGCCCACGGUGACUGGCCUGGAUGGUCGUACUCCACCACCAGAGAGAAACAGCUCCAGGGGAAGUCGGGCCCUACGUGCUGCUCGUACACCACCACACACACACUGUCAUUUAUGCUGGUGGAACAGGAUGGGAGUGAGAAAACAACACUUUGUUCAGCAUAACAUAGCAGCUAAAAAUAUUUCCUUUAACACAUCAAAACAAUCCAUUACACACCAAAACACUUGUUACUUACUCAUACAGUGUGGAGUGAUACGAGGAAUGAGUUGGUUUUUACUUAAUGUUCAUAAAACUCAAACUAAAGAGUACUUUAAACAAGCAUUUGCUGUAUAUACUGUAUUUAAUAAGUGCUAAGUAGGACUGUCAACUGAUUAAAAUAUUUAAUCGCAUGAUUAAUGCUUC